This 273-nucleotide ribosomal RNA is filed under the name Aporrectodea trapezoides. Its description in RNAcentral is "partial 12S ribosomal RNA". Lineage: Eukaryota; Metazoa; Annelida; Clitellata; Crassiclitellata; Lumbricidae. The record is from RNAcentral.
GUCGUAAGCACACCUCUAAAAGCACAAGUAUGCAAUUAUGACAAACUCAUAUACGUCAGGUCAAAGUGCAGCUUAUGGGAGGGCGACGAUGGGUUACACCCUACAUAAAGACACGAAAUGUGGCACCAAAAGCUACAUGAAGGUGGACUUGGGCGUAAUAAAGAUACAAAAUCAAAAUGAAACUGAAUCUGAGACAUGCACACAUCGCCCGUCACUCUUGCCCAAAGGUGAGAUAAGUCGUAACAAAGUAGGUGUAACGGAAGUUGCACCUGU